Molecule: ribosomal RNA, 726 nt
Filed under: uncultured Serratia sp.
Lineage: Bacteria; Pseudomonadati; Pseudomonadota; Gammaproteobacteria; Enterobacterales; Yersiniaceae
Description: bacterial SSU rRNA
Rfam family: Bacterial small subunit ribosomal RNA
Source: RNAcentral
AACCGGAUUAGAUACCCUGGUAGUCCACGCUGUAAACGAUGUCGAUUUGGAGGUUGUGCCCUUGAGGCGUGGCUUCCGGAGCUAACGCGUUAAAUCGACCGCCUGGGGAGUACGGCCGCAAGGUUAAAACUCAAAUGAAUUGACGGGGGCCCGCACAAGCGGUGGAGCAUGUGGUUUAAUUCGAUGCAACGCGAAGAACCUUACCUACUCUUGACAUCCAGAGAACUUUCCAGAGAUGGAUUGGUGCCUUCGGGAACUCUGAGACAGGUGCUGCAUGGCUGUCGUCAGCUCGUGUUGUGAAAUGUUGGGUUAAGUCCCGCAACGAGCGCAACCCUUAUCCUUUGUUGCCAGCGGUUCGGCCGGGAACUCAAAGGAGACUGCCAGUGAUAAACUGGAGGAAGGUGGGGAUGACGUCAAGUCAUCAUGGCCCUUACGAGUAGGGCUACACACGUGCUACAAUGGCGUAUACAAAGAGAAGCGACCUCGCGAGAGCAAGCGGACCUCAUAAAGUACGUCGUAGUCCGGAUUGGAGUCUGCAACUCGACUCCAUGAAGUCGGAAUCGCUAGUAAUCGUAGAUCAGAAUGCUACGGUGAAUACGUUCCCGGGCCUUGUACACACCGCCCGUCACACCAUGGGAGUGGGUUGCAAAAGAAGUAGUAGCUUAACCUUCGGGAGGGCGCUUACCACUUUGUGAUUCAUGACUGGGGUGAAGUCGUAACAAGGUA